AAGAUUAAGCCAUGCAUGUCUAAGUAUACGCGAUAUACAGUGAAACUGCGAAUGGCUCAUUAAAUCAGUCAUCGUUUAUUUGAUAGUACUUACUACAUGGAUAUCCGUGGUAAUUCUAGAGCUAAUACAUGCCUUUCUUGCAUUUAUUAGAUAAACCGACGUUUUGGCGAUUCAUAAUAACUUGCGGACCCCUGCGGGGGCGGUUCAUUCAAAUUUCUG
This 219-nucleotide ribosomal RNA is filed under the name uncultured fungus. RNAcentral's name for it is "partial 18S ribosomal RNA". It matches the Rfam family "Eukaryotic small subunit ribosomal RNA", at positions 40 to 309 of the family's 1831-position model. Lineage: Eukaryota; Fungi. The record is from RNAcentral.